RNAcentral lists this long non-coding RNA (3660 nucleotides) under Canis lupus familiaris (dog). RNAcentral describes it as "lncRNA (ENSCAFG00000054396.1)". Lineage: Eukaryota; Metazoa; Chordata; Mammalia; Carnivora; Canidae. The record is from RNAcentral.
AGUCUCUGUUGCCUUGGUGGUUUGAGUGACCCUAAUGGUUCUUUAGUGUUCAGGUAAUGAUGCCAGAGAGGUGCCUAUGUCUGGAAAUGAGGACAUUUCCACCAAAGGGCUCUUAAAUCACCUUCUUUUAAAAAUAUAUUUUUAAAAAAAUACUUUAAAAAAUGUUUUAAUGAAUUUUCAUUAAAGUUGUGGUUCUUUUUAAAUAAAGUGUGCUAAUUUCUCCUCCCUAGAUGAAGUUACCCAAUUAUGUAAAAUAUUUGCCUAAAGAAAAUAUCUAGGUACAGAAGAACAUUAUUAUAAAUUAUCUUUGCGGGAUCCCUGGGUGGCGCAGCGGUUUAGCGCCUACCUUUGGCCCGGGGCGCAAUCCUGGAGACCCAGGAUCGAAUCCCACAUCGGGCUCCCGGUGCAUGGAGCCUGCUUCUCCCUCUGCCUGUGUCUGCCUCUCUCUCUCUCUCUCUCUCUCUCUCUCUCUGUGUGACUAUCAUAAAUAAAUAAAAAAUUUAAAAAAAAAAACAAAAAAAAUAAAUUAUCUUUGCUUCUCUUCUGUCCUCAGGCAUCAAAAAGGCAAAUGGAAGAUUUCUCACCAGUUUAUAGUGAGAAUUUAGUAACAUAUUGUCUUUAGUAAUAUAUUUUCAAACAUCAUGAUGAAGAAAAUAGUUAGGUAUCCACAGGGUUCCCAAAUUCAGGCAUUCCCCACGUAUUCUAACUCAAAAAUACAAGAAGCAAAAGAACUGCUCCACACCUGGAAUAUUUUCUAAACAACUCUGAUUUGUAUUCAUGGUUAUAAAUUUCAGCCAGGAUAAAAAUGAGAGCUAAAGGUAUCAAUCAGUUUGUUGCUGUGAAGAAGAGAGUCUCCCAACAAAAAUGAGAAUUAACCCGAAGAAAAAAUAAACUUCGCACAUUAUUUUAAUGCCUCCAAAUUUGGCAUUUAUUUUUAAUCUCUGUCCCACUCACCCCUUUCAUCUCUUCUCUGUUUCCACCUUAAAUUAUUUCUAAGAAGCUGAUGACACACUUCAGACUGCCCCCACUCCCUUUCUAAAGAAGUGCUUCCCAAUUUUGAAAGCCAGGAUGGAAUACGUUCUCCCUAUCUGUAUGAACUCUUGUGUUCAAGCACUGUGUGUGCUUCUCUUAUCUUUAGCAAGGUAUAUACUUUUCCUACCUUUUUAAUUUCCAAAACUAGUUAGAGAUGGAAAUAUAGACUAUGCAAACAAUUGCAGAUAAAUGCUUUGCAAGGGUUCCUUAUCACCGUGACCUAUAUGUCAUCUAUUAAAAGAGAAAAGACAAUAAAUAAUAAAUCUUUGUUAUGUAUCCAGAUUAUCUUUGAUCACCAAAAGUAAUAUUUUUUUUUUAAAGAUUUAUUUGACAGAGAGACAGUGCACAUGCACGAGCAUGAGGAAGGGCAGCGGAAAGGGAGAGAAACUCAAGCAGAUUCCCUGCUGAGUGCCAUGCCCAACGCGGGGCUCCAUCUGAGGACCCUAAGACCAUGACCUCAAGGGCUGAAAUCAAGAGCCAGCUGCUUAACCGACUCAGCCACUCAGGUGCCCCCUUAAGUUAUAAUUUAAAAAACAUUUGUUUAAAAGUCUAGGUUUUGUACAAUUCAACUAGAAGUAUACUAGCAAUAGUAUGAGAACAAUGAAUGGGAAAACAAUAUGUUUUGUAGGAAAACCAAGAGGAGAAAUAAAAGCACAUAGAAGUAAAAGAAAAAUAAUUUUCCAGGGAUUUAAACAAAUUUAAAAUACUGUAUAUUGGAACACCUGAGUGGCUCAGUGGUUGAGUACCUGCCUUUGGCUCAGGGCCUGAUUCUAGGGUCCUGGGAUGGAGUCCCACAUCGGGCUCCCUGCAUGGAGCCUGCUUCUCCUCCUUCUGCCUAGGUCUCUGCCUCUCUCUGUGUCUCUCAUGAAUAAAUAAAAUCUUAGAAAAAAAUACUGUAUAUUAUUUUUGCACAAAACUUAAAAAGUCAGUUGACAAGAUACCUUACUUAGUCCAACAGUUUAUUUUAGUUAGACUUUCCUAUUCUUCCCAGUAUAAUAGUAAUGUAUCUAAUCAUAAUCAUAUUAGCAGGACAAAUACAGCUUCAAUAUUGAUGGACCAAUUUUUGACUUUUAGUAAUGUAUUUAUUUACUUUUUCAUAUCCCGUUUCAUUGCAGGUCAGUCAAAUUUCUUUCUAAAUCUAGACUUGUGGGCCCUUUUCAUCAAUAAAUAUGUAUUAAUUGAAUGCACUAAGUGCAGCAUAUAGUUCACAUUUAAUGCCUGAUUUAAAUGAGACAUUAUUAUACAUAUGUGUAUAAAAAUAUUUUUUUCUUCUUUUGAAUACCCAACUAUUAAUCUUUAGAAAUGCACUUCUUGUGAUACUGUACUGAAAACAUUUUCCAAAACUGAGUUUUGAUAAGAGAUCUGGAAAAGAAUAGGUAGCCUUCUUGCCAGGGUGCAGGUGCAAGGAAGAAAAAAGGACAAAGCUAAGUCAGAUACAAGAGAUCUAGGAGGCAGGUAGGAGGGACAAAACAGCAGCAAAACAUUCAUUGGGAGGAAAUGGAUAGAUUUGAGGAAAAAAGAAAGGCAACAAGAGAAAGCAGUCAGUAAAAGGGAGUCCCCACUGGGAGACAUCUGUAGAAAACAUCUGUAGACACUUCUCCAUCACCGCCAGGAAGGAGAAUUCCUGCUACAGAGACACACAAAAAGGCUUAACUACCUGUGGUAUUUGGUUGAAGGGCAUAAACAAUGCUCAGUGCACCAGCCUCUAAUUACUCUAUGACAACCCCAGUUCCGCCCUCCCAGUGGAAAACAUAUGUCAAAGCAUUUAGUAUUGAUUGAAACGUAAGGAAAUUCUUUGAUUCAUCUCUUUCCCCACAACAAGCCUGCCUUAUUUCACCCUCAUUUGUCUGAGGAGAAAGAAAAAUAAGUAUUUCCUUCCAAGGAGAGAUAGGAGAUGGCUCUGAUCCAUUUAUCACAUAACUGUUUUUGCUUUGCUUUCGUACCUGAGGUUAGAAAAAUUCUGCCAAUGGGGCCCUGUCAGCCUGGCACUGAAUGCAACAGUGGGUAUGACAAAGGUACUAGCAGCUGGAAAGGCACACUGUCUAAAGUGCUAGUCCUGAUGAUGGGGCCAGCCACCUGGAAGACUGAACAAGUCAUUAGAAGAUCAACUGUGAAAAGAAUCACAUGCACCGCCCCUCUCCCCCAGGCCCCCGCUUCACUCCCUUUGAACACCUUAUCCUUCCUGCGCUCCAUAGUAUCCCAUUUACAGCUCAUUCAGGGCUAAUGUAGCAGAGAGGAAACAUGGAGGAGUCAGAGACAGAGAGAAAUCCUGCAAAUGAAAAGAAAAUUCUUUAUUCAAGUGGCGUUCACAGUUUCAAAAUAGAAAAACAUGUUAUAGAUUUCUGUGCACACAUUACUACCUGUGGCCCAUUCAAGUCAUUCAGUCUCACUCACGGAGUGAGUGCAUUUUGUGAGUCAAUCACAGGCACGUUUGUGUGGAUGGGCAUUACAUAGAGCCAGAGUCUCCGGGUCAGUGAUGAGCUAGAUGCUGCCAAUGGUGCCACUCCCAGAGUUACUGCUUCUGAGAGCUGGUGCUUUUGAAGUAUGGCCAGCUGAAAGAAAUAAGCAAUGACAAAAAACAUAAUGGAGCCCAUAAGAGGCCUGGGCUAAAAAAAAAAAAAAAAAAAA